RNAcentral lists this ribosomal RNA (571 nucleotides) under uncultured bacterium. Its description in RNAcentral is "partial 16S ribosomal RNA". It matches the Rfam family "Bacterial small subunit ribosomal RNA", at positions 355 to 918 of the family's 1533-position model. The record is from RNAcentral.
UGGGGAAUUUUGGACAAUGGGCGAAAGCCUGAUCCAGCAAUGCCGCGUGUGUGAAGAAGGCCUUCGGGUUGUAAAGCACUUUUGUCCGGAAAGAAAUCCUUGGCUCUAAUACAGUCGGGGGAUGACGGUACCGGAAGAAUAAGCACCGGCUAACUACGUGCCAGCAGCCGCGGUAAUACGUAGGGUGCAAGCGUUAAUCGGAAUUACUGGGCGUAAAGCGUGCGCAGGCGGUUUGCUAAGACCGAUGUGAAAUCCCCGGGCUCAACCUGGGAACUGCAUUGGUGACUGGCAGGCUAGAGUAUGGCAGAGGGGGGUAGAAUUCCACGUGUAGCAGUGAAAUGCGUAGAGAUGUGGAGGAAUACCGAUGGCGAAGGCAGCCCCCCUGGGGCCAAAUACUGACGCUCAUGCACGAAAGCGUGGGGAGCAAACAGGAUUAGAUACCCUGGUAGUCCACGCCCUAAACGAUGUCAACUAGUUGUUGGGGAUUCAUUUCCUUAGUAACGUACUAACGCGUGAAGUUGACCGCCUGGGGAGUACGGUCGCAAGAUUAAAACUUAAAUGAUUGACGGGG